AUUGAACGCUGGCGGCAUGCCUUACACAUGCAAGUCGAACGGUAACAGGUCUUCGGACGCUGACGAGUGGCGAACGGGUGAGUAAUGCAUCGGAACGUGCCCAGUCGUGGGGGAUAACUGCUCGAAAGAGCAGCUAAUACCGCAUACGACCUGAGGGUGAAAGCGGGGGACCGUAAGGCCUCGCGCGAUUGGAGCGGCCGAUGUCAGAUUAGCUAGUUGGUGGGGUAAAGGCCUACCAAGGCAACGAUCUGUAGUUGGUCUGAGAGGACGACCAGCCACACUGGGACUGACACACGGCCCAGACUCCUACGGGAGGCAGCAGUGGGGAAUUUUGGACAAUGGGCGCAAGCCUGAUCCAGCAAUGCCGCGUGCAGGAAGAAGGCCUUCGGGUUGUAAACUGCUUUUGUCAGGGAAGAAAUCUUCUGGGCUAAUACCCCGGGAGGAUGACGGUACCUGAAGAAUAAGCACCGGCUAACUACGUG
This 482-nucleotide ribosomal RNA is filed under the name uncultured bacterium. RNAcentral's name for it is "partial 16S ribosomal RNA". It matches the Rfam family "Bacterial small subunit ribosomal RNA", at positions 30 to 507 of the family's 1533-position model. The record is from RNAcentral.